GACGAACGCUGGCGGCGUGCUUAACACAUGCAAGUCGAACGAUGACGACCGAGCUUGCUCGGUCUGAUUAGUGGCGAACGGGUGAGUAACACGUGAGCAACCUGCCCUUCACUCUGGGAUAACCUCGGGAAAUCGGGGCUAAUACCGGAUAUGAGCUCCUGUCGCAUGGCGGGUGUUGGAAAGUUUUUCGGUGAAGGAUGGGCUCGCGGCCUAUCAGUUUGUUGGUGAGGUAGUGGCUCACCAAGGCGAUGACGGGUAGCCGGCCUGAGGGGGGGACCGGCCACACUGGGACUGAGACACGGCCCAGACUCCUACGGGAGGCAGCAGUGGGGAAUAUUGCACAAUGGGCGAAAGCCUGAUGCAGCGACGCCGCGUGAGGGAUGACGGCCUUCGGGUUGUAAACCUCUUUCAGCAGGGAAGAAGCGAAAGUGACGGUACCUGCAGAAGAAGCGCCGGCUAACUACGUG
RNAcentral lists this ribosomal RNA (467 nucleotides) under uncultured bacterium. RNAcentral describes it as "partial 16S ribosomal RNA". It matches the Rfam family "Bacterial small subunit ribosomal RNA", at positions 28 to 507 of the family's 1533-position model. The record is from RNAcentral.